RNAcentral lists this unclassified non-coding RNA (310 nucleotides) under plant metagenome. RNAcentral describes it as "partial contains 5.8S ribosomal RNA, internal transcribed spacer 2, and large subunit ribosomal RNA". The stretch from base 1 to 105 matches the Rfam family "5.8S ribosomal RNA", at positions 50 to 154 of the family's 154-position model. The record is from RNAcentral.
GAAAUGCGAUAAGUAGUGUGAAUUGCAGAAUUCAGUGAAUCAUCGAAUCUUUGAACGCACAUUGCGCCCCUUGGUAUUCCAUGGGGCAUGCCUGUUCGAGCGUCAUUUGUACCCUCAAGCUCUGCUUGGUGUUGGGUGUUUGUCCCCGUCUCCGCGCGUGGACUCGCCCCAAAGUGAUUGGCAGCCGGCGUACUGGUCCCGGAGCGCAGCACAUGUCGCGCAAGCGAGUGCCUUGGUACGGCGGCGUCCAUAAGCCCCUCUCUCACGCUCUUGACCUCGGAUCAGGUAGGGAUACCCGCUGAACUUAAGC